This 497-nucleotide ribosomal RNA is filed under the name uncultured bacterium. RNAcentral describes it as "partial 16S ribosomal RNA". It matches the Rfam family "Bacterial small subunit ribosomal RNA", at positions 28 to 507 of the family's 1533-position model. The record is from RNAcentral.
GAUGAACGCUGACGGCGUGCCUAAUACAUGCAAGUCGAGCGAACAGACGAGGAGCUUGCUCCUCUGACGUUAGCGGCGGACGGGUGAGUAACACGUGGAUAACCUACCUAUAAGACUGGGAUAACUUCGGGAAACCGGAGCUAAUACCGGAUAAUAUAUUGAACCGCAUGGUUCAAUAGUGAAAGACGGUUUUGCUGUCACUUAUAGAUGGAUCCGCGCCGCAUUAGCUAGUUGGUAAGGUAACGGCUUACCAAGGCAACGAUGCGUAGCCGACCUGAGAGGGUGAUCGGCCACACUGGAACUGAGACACGGUCCAGACUCCUACGGGAGGCAGCAGUAGGGAAUCUUCCGCAAAGGGCGAAAGCCUGACGGAGCAACGCCGCGUGAGUGAUGAAGGUCUUCGGAUCGUAAAACUCUGUUAUUAGGGAAGAACAAAUGUGUAAGUAACUAUGCACGUCUUGACGGUACCUAAUCAGAAAGCCACGGCUAACUACGUG